Molecule: non-coding RNA, 611 nt
Organism: Scomber scombrus (Atlantic mackerel)
Lineage: Eukaryota; Metazoa; Chordata; Actinopteri; Scombriformes; Scombridae
Source: the annotation of a RefSeq genome assembly
AUGGAGAGAUUGAAGGAGAGACUUCUAAAGCUUGUGGGCCGUGGCACUAACGGACCUGCCUCCCAAAGUGGACAGUUUGGUGCGUGGGACGCACUAACACUCCCGUCCUUUGAUGCUUCUCUUUGGACAUUAGCGAGCAACAAUCCCAUCUCCCUUUCUGCCUUCGACAUGUUCGGUGGAGGAACCAGACUGGAAGUUAACUUGGGUCGAGUCGCCCCCACCCUGACGGUGCUGCCCCCCUCCAGCCAGGAGCUGCAGCAGGGUAAGGCCACGCUCACGUGUCUGGCCAACAAGGGCUUCCCCUCAGACUGGAGUCUGGCCUGGAAGGUGGACGGCAGCAGCAGCAGCAGCAGCAGCAGCUGGGAGCAGAGCAGGAGACCCGGGGUGCUGCAGGGGGACGGCCACUACAGCUGGAGCAGCACCCUGAGGCUCACUGCAGACCAGUGGAGGAAGGUGGGCUCUGUGACCUGUGAGGCCACCCAGGGCUCCCAGUCUCCACUCUCAGAGACACUGAGGAGAGACCAGUGUUCCCAGUCCUGACCUGACUCACUGGGACUCUGCUACUGGUUUUACUCUGCUACUGCUCUCACUCUGAUCUCUGCAACUCUGUU